GAGGGGAAUGGGUAACACUUUCCGAGGGGCCAGUGUUUGUAUGAGCAGCACUUCCUGAACCUGCCAUGGUCCCUGAAGAGGCCACAGGUCUUGAAGUAAACGAACGUAGACAUGUCCAGAGUCCUCUCCAGGCAGAGCUGGUCCAGGAUCAUGCCAGCUGGCUAGGUGACAGAGGAGGGCAGACUGUUUGGCCUGGAGUCAGGCCAGCCUGACUGAAAGAAAGAGUCAUGUCACUCUGCCCUGAAGCUUUGUGGUGUCACCCUGGUUAUUGCCACCCACCUUCAUCACACCUCACCCCACCACAGCCAACUGUGACUGAGCGGAUCUCUGGAACUUACAGAAUGGAUCCUGGCCAGGCUGGCUUCUUUGGUGAAGUGUCUGGCUUAUCCAGAAGACCAGCUCUUCUCCAGCCACCUCAAGCUCCCAGGAGCUCACUGGAUGGAAGAGAAGUGAACUUGACCUGCUGUUUCUGCACCCACAUCUUCUAGACUGCUGUUCCCGAUCCCUGCUAGAGUGUGCUUCUGGGGCAAGUGAAAUUCUGUACUUGAUUUCCGUGCCUUAAACCCAUGAGGACCAGGAAAGAGGAAAAUCAGAAGUGACGAGAGAGACGAGGGCCCUGGAGGAGCAGAUGUGGAAAAGGAAUCCUGCCUGCAGCCAACAUCUGCUUCCCUCGUUUCCAUCCUAGCCACAGGCUGGGCUGAUGGAGGAGUCUGACUAGCUCUUGGGACCACAGUCAGAUCCAUGGGACUGAAGCCCUGCUUAGCCUCUUCUUGCCCAGAGCUUCUGUAGGUGAGCUUGUGGCAUAUGCUCUAUGCCUGGCAGACAGUAUCUGGUGUCCAGUGAUGCCAGCUGCCAUGACCUGCUGGCUCCUUGUCCUGCUCCUCAUCACCCCCCCCCCCCCGGAACAGAGGCGCUUGCCCACCAUCUCUGAAACGAAGCUAUGACAUUUGGUUUGCUCUUCCUAGAUGACAGUUUCAGAGACAGCCUAUGACUCAUUAUGCCCUUUCCCUCCACUAUAAAGUCCAGCCACACUCCAGAUAAAGACUGCUUCCUCGGCCUGGGUCCCAGGACAAGGUCUAGGGCAGAGCCUCCAGAUGCAGUGUGCAGGGGCUGACGUAGGAAUAGCAAGCAGCCUCUGCCUGAAGCCACUGCAACUGAGGCUGUGCCCUUACUGCAGCCUUACCUGCCCUAUCCUCACCAGUUGACACCGGCUUUCAAGGGAAAGUCAUUCCCCAUCCAGACAUCAGCAGGCCCCAGAUUAAUUUCCAUUUGUGGCACUUGUCCACCGUUCUUCCAGAAAAAGUAUUAAACUAUGUUAAGUCUAUAAAAGUCCUCACUCGUACCCCAGCCCAAACCAUGCUUGGUAUGUAUGUUCCGUUCUCUGACCCGAUACAUCUGUGAAAUGGACCCCAUUUGGGAAGGCUCCAAGUGAGCCCUAGGGUUUUACUGCUAUGAACAGACACCAUGACCAUGGCAAGUCUUCUAAAGGACAGCAUUUAAUUGGGGCUGCCUUAUAGGUUCAGAGGUUCAGUCCAUUAUCACCAAAGUGGGAGCAUGGCAGCAUCCAGGCAGGCAUGGUGCAGGAGAAGCUGAGAGUUCUACAUCUUCAUCUGAAGGCUGCUAGUUGAAGACUGACUUCCAGGCAGAGGGUCUUAAGCCCACACCCACAGUGACACACCUAAUCCAACAAGGCCAUACUCACUCCAACAGGGCCACGCCCUGGGUUGAGCAUAUUCAAACCAACACAGGUAACUAUUCUGGCCAUUCCUUGACUCCCUUUACAAAACUGCUGAUCUGGGACCUGGUAGGAUGGUCCAGUGGGACCUCCCACCAAACCUGACAAGCUGAGCUCAAUUUCCGGGACCCACAUGGUGGAAGGAGAAAGUGACAUCUGCAAGUCAUCCUCGGACCUACAUACGUGCUCGCCCUGGCACACAUGGGCACUCACGUCCGUACACACGCUCAUUCAUAAGCACACAUACACAACACACACACAAACAUAAUUUUUAGACUCACACUGCUGACAUAUCUCUGAUCACGAGGACUCGGUUCUUCAUUCGUGGCUUUAAUCCCGUCUUUAUGAUCGUCUUCUGCAGGCUGAUGAUUAUUCUGAGAACAAGCAAAAGAAGACCUGAGCCGUUCCACCACUGUGCCCAGCUCACGGCACAUGCUUAAAUUCCAUGUGUGUGGAGCUAAAACAAGACAAAACUGGACUACACUUGGGGAUAGACUCUUAGUGGGUAAAACCAGAAAAACAGACAAGGAAGUGGGAGGAGGAGGAGAAGGAGGACAGGAAUUCACCUCCCAGCUCCCACAUAGCAGCUCAAACUGACUGUAACUACAGUUCCAAGAGAUCAAAUGUUCUCUUCUGGUCUCUGUGGGCACUGCACACAUGUGGUGCGCAGAUAUACAUGCAGACAAAACACCCAUACACAUAAAAGUAAACAAGAUAAGGAAAUGAUUGGCAUUAAGACUGGCCACAGGGAGGGGUGACCAGGCAGAGGCAGACGGCUGGAUCUGACUGUUUCUCUUCCUUGACAUUUAUGGAUGGGGGGUGUGGCUUUCAUCUUUCCCCUUUGUGUGUCCAGGAUAUAUUUAAAAAAGAAAUUUUGAAGCAUUGUUCUAGGAACUGAGGUAUAGCUAGUUGGUAAAGGGUGUGUUGUGUAGGUUUACUGGAGAUGUGCCAGGAAUGGAGCCAGGAAUGGAGGAGACCUCCAUCUUAAAUUAAAAAAUAAAACACAUUGUAUGUCGCUCUGCAUCACAUGGUGAGAGUCCUCUGCUUGCUUCCUAUGGCUAUACCUGAUCUAUCAUCUGAAUGUGUCAAAUGUAUUUAUCCAUCCCGUUCCUGGGGGCCACUGGGCUUGUUUUUAGCAUGGGGACCGUGUGGACGAUGAGGCUCUGAG
Molecule: long non-coding RNA, 2903 nt
Filed under: Rattus norvegicus (Norway rat)
Lineage: Eukaryota; Metazoa; Chordata; Mammalia; Rodentia; Muridae
Description: long non-coding RNA NONRATT031709
Source: RNAcentral